UCAGAAGAGAUUCAGGAUCGUUAGAGAGGU
This 30-nucleotide non-coding RNA is filed under the name Mus musculus (house mouse). Lineage: Eukaryota; Metazoa; Chordata; Mammalia; Rodentia; Muridae. The record is from RNAcentral.